Molecule: ribosomal RNA, 372 nt
Filed under: uncultured bacterium
Lineage: Bacteria
Description: bacterial SSU rRNA
Rfam family: Bacterial small subunit ribosomal RNA
Source: RNAcentral
UACGGAGGGAGCUAGCGUUGUUCGGAAUUACUGGGCGUAAAGCGUGCGCAGGCGGUUAUGUAAGACAGGUGUGAAAUCCCCGGGCUUAACCUGGGAACUGCAUUUGUGACUGCAUAGCUAGAGUACGGUAGAGGGGGAUGGAAUUCCGCGUGUAGCAGUGAAAUGCGUAGAUAUGCGGAGGAACACCGAUGGCGAAGGCAAUCCCCUGGACCUGUACUGACGCUCAUGCACGAAAGCGUGGGGAGCAAACAGGAUUAGAUACCCUGGUAGUCCACGCCCUAAACGAUGUCAACUGGUUGUUGGGUCUUCACUGACUCAGUAACGAAGCUAACGCGUGAAGUUGACCGCCUGGGGAGUACGGCCGCAAGGUUG